CCUACGGGGGACAGCAGUGGGGAAUAUUGCACAAUGGGGGAAACCCUGAUGCAGCGACGCCGCGUGAGUGAAGAAGUAAUUCGUUAUGUAAAGCUCUAUCAGCAGGGAAGAAAAUGACGGUACCUGAGUAAGAAGCCACGGCUAACUACGUGCCAGCAGCCGCGGUCAUACGUAGGGGGCAAGCGUUAUCCGGAUUUACUGGGUGUAAAGGGAGCGUAGACGGCAGUGCAAGUCUGGAGUGAAAGGCGGGGGCUCAACCCCCGGACUGCUCUGGAAACUGUACGGCUGGAGUGCAGGAGAGGUGAGUGGAAUUCCUAGUGUAGCGGUGAAAUGCGUAGAUAUUAGGAGGAACACCAGUGGCGAAGGCGGCUUACUGGACUGUAACUGACGUUGAGGCUCGAAAGCGUGGGGAGCAAACAGGAUUAGAUACCCGGGUAGUC
Molecule: ribosomal RNA, 440 nt
Filed under: uncultured bacterium
Lineage: Bacteria
Description: partial 16S ribosomal RNA
Rfam family: Bacterial small subunit ribosomal RNA
Source: RNAcentral